This 301-nucleotide ribosomal RNA is filed under the name uncultured bacterium. Its description in RNAcentral is "partial 16S ribosomal RNA". It matches the Rfam family "Bacterial small subunit ribosomal RNA", at positions 509 to 807 of the family's 1533-position model. The record is from RNAcentral.
CAGUCGCCGCGGUAAUACGAAGGGUGCAAGCGUUAAUCGGAAUUACUGGGCGUAAAGCGUGCGUAGGCGGUGAGUUAAGUCUGCUGUGAAAUCCCCGGGCUCAACCUGGGAAUGGCAGUGGAUACUGGCUCGCUAGAGUGUGUCAGAGGAUGGUGGAAUUCCCGGUGUAGCGGUGAAAUGCGUAGAGAUCGGGAGGAACAUCAGUGGCGAAGGCGGCCAUCUGGGACAACGCUGACGCUGAGGCACGAAAGCGUGGGGAGCAAACAGGAUUAGAUACCCCAGUAGUCCCUGUCUCUUAUAC